This is a long non-coding RNA of Oryzias latipes (Japanese medaka), 2765 nucleotides long. RefSeq lists it as uncharacterized. The record is from RefSeq and is a predicted model, not a curated record. Lineage: Eukaryota; Metazoa; Chordata; Actinopteri; Beloniformes; Adrianichthyidae.
CCUUUCAGGCAGAUUACUCAGCAGUGUUUUACUUGGUUACUCCCCUAGGGGGGGUUCAGUUAAUCAACUCACCUGUUCAGUGUCCUAUUUAAGUCCAGGUGUGCAGUUGUUCACUCUCUUUACCGCAAGCGCUGCGUUCGUCGCCCCACCCUCCUCCCCGGCUUCCACCUGUGAGAUCCGUUAGGGGUAGUUAUUACGCAAAAGUUUUCUGGAAAUCUUUCCUCAUGGAAUAUUUUUUUUUUUACUGCAUGAGUUGUCUGACUGAAAUAUAUCAUGGGAAAUUUCCCCAUAAUUCAGUUACUUUCCAGUACUGUUAAUCCAAAAUUUUCUGUCUUUCUGUCCAAUUAAAGAGGCACUGAAAGAUACAUGGGCUUGUUGCUAAAAAAAUUUUUUUAGAUUAUGCAUAACAUUUAGGGGAAAAUCAAAGAUGCAGACCUGAAUGUGUAAUGUUGUUUUGGUAAUAAUUUUUGUUUUGAAGUUUUCGAAUUUGAAGAUAAAUUCCUUGUGCAUGCACUGAACUUGGCCAAAAAAGCCGAUUCCAAUUUUUUUCUUUUGCAGAAAUUUGUGAUGAAGACGAUGGCCAUUUUUAAAGAAGGUUGGCCGACAGAUGAGAGGUACAUGACCACGAAAACCAAGAAUUCAUUAAAAAAAGAGACUUGCAGAACAUUUCCUGCCAUUGAUCUCUGCUCUCCCCACAGCUCUGCUUCAGUUUCAUCCAAAUCCUGACAAAAGUGUUUGUUUCAGCUCUUUCUGGAGUUUCUGUCUGCUCAGCUGAUGCUGAAGUUGGUGUUUUUUUCUCCAGAGAACAUCUCCUGUGGGGUUGGAGUUUCCUUUGGAAGCGCAGGACAUGAGUCCUGCCUAAAGAAUGUAGAUGAUUUUUGUUCAUGAGUUUGUCACAUGGCAGGAUUUUCCUGUGAAGAUGCUGAGUGCGGAAGUUUGACACACAUCAUCAGAGGCCUUCCGUCCUAUGCUUGUUUUCCUACAAGUUAUGGGAAUGUGAUGAUUCUCCUAAUCAUUGCAGGGACUCUGAAGGCUGUGAAUGAGGUGGAGGAGCUCCGCCUCGUGUCCUCACAGGGCAAAUCUGAAGAAGCAUGACAUUUGAACAGUUGGGUGGAAAAACAUGACACAGUGAGGGUGAAAAGCAAUAAGGCAGGGGUUAGUCUCAUGCCCCACAUGAGUACCUGUGUAAGUGAGAGGUUAGCAGGCUAGUGACUGAAAAAUGAAGCAAAGCGAAGCAUCUCUUGUCCAUCAGAACCUGAGUUUGUUCUUCUGUGUAAGCACUCUCACUCAUAUUGAUGCACUUUUUUUUUUGGUUCGCCGGACAGCUUUCACGCAGUUUGAGCUGGAAUCGAAGGUCUCUGUUUAGCCUUGAACAGAUGCAGUUAGGUCCCUCAAAUACAAUUUGUGACGGUGUGGCACCGUCAGAUGGCAAAGGGGACCCACACCGUGUAAUUAUUUUAUGUGUAUUUAUUCAUUUUAUGUAUAAAACUAAUUCCUGUGAUGCCACCUGGAGGAUAAUGAAGAGCCACGCCCAAUGGGAGGGGCUUAACAUUCAAAAGGGAGCAUCACAGGUAGAGAAAAGAGGUGACGGAGGUGUUGUGUGUGGAUUUGGCCCUGCGUGGAGCUAUUGCAGAGCUCAAUUGUUCUUGAAAUAAGGAAAAGAACCCACUCACCUUGGUGAGGCCACCCGGAUCCACCCCCUCUUUCUCAGUGGAUGGAGUCCUCGACGGAGGAGCUGUGGUUGUUGUGGGAUCUUUCUCCCCAAACCUCUGCGUUCUCACCUUUUUGUGGCUGUCCUCUGCGAUCCCACUUCUGACACCAAGUUUUCGUGGGGUCCCGCUGGGAUUAAUGCAGAGGCACCAAGUCGCUCUGCUGGCAGAAAGCGUCUUUGUCUCUUUUCCUGAAGCGGAGAGGAAAGAAAAACUCUGGGGUCAAACUAAUGAGCUCUGCAGGCGUUUGUGACACAGAGAUGUCAUCAGUCAUCUUUAAACCCAGACCAGCCAAACAUGGUUUGGACCUCAUCGUCAGCAAUCAACAGAUUCCAAGUUCAUCUGGUGAAUCCUCCGUGUCUUAUUUUCCCAUACAGCAAGUAAAGAUCUACGUCUUCUGAGAGAAGCAGUUAUUUGCUUGUUACUGUUUCAGGCUGAACACAUGAGUCCUCACCCGGACUGCAGCCUCCACUUUUGGUGACUGCCCCAAUCUACAUCUAGAUAUUUUUGCUGAAUUUAACUGAACAUGUUCUUGUACAGGCUGGACUUCCUUUCUGGGAUUGUUAUUUUUUUCCCUAACCCUUGAGUUUGACGUCUUUCAUAUUUUCCUCAUAGUUGUACAGUUUUUUGUUGCUGCUGUUAUGGUUGAAGUGUUUGUUUCUGUCCAUUAUAUUUUACCUCUGUUUGGUAGCUUUUCCAUUUUCCUGUGGCUGUUGAGGAUUAAGAAAAUCCUCACCUGUCUCGGGUUCAAAAGUCCCUUUUUUGUCUCUGCUCCUGUUUCCAGAAAAUAUCCUAUCCAGUAAACCCUGUUUAGUUUGAGGUUUCUUAUUUCUUCCGCUUGUAAAAACUUGCAGUUUUACCCUGAAAGGAGCAGCUUUGUGCUUUCUAAAGUCUUCGUGCUCUGUGGUUCCUGAAAGUGUCAGUCAAAAGAGGCAGCAGCACAGACUGAAUGCUGUGCAGGUGUGUCUGGCUGCAGAGAUGUGGGUUUUGGCUGCUGUUGGGUAGUAUGACCCAACUUGCAUCUGUGUGUUCAUGCUAGCACACCAAAAAAAUAAA